CUGCGCGACAAGCUGCGGGCGUGGGUGUGCGUCGCUGCGGGCGACGCCGAUGAGAUUGCACGGCGCGCGUUCGCGUCGCGCCACGCGUUC
RNAcentral lists this transfer RNA (90 nucleotides) under Phycisphaerae bacterium RAS1. RNAcentral describes it as "tRNA-Arg". Lineage: Bacteria; Pseudomonadati; Planctomycetota; Phycisphaerae. The record is from RNAcentral.